CCUACGGGAGGCUGCAGUGGGGAAUAUUGGACAAUGGGGGCAACCCUGAUCCAGCCAUGCCGCGUGUGUGAAGAAGGCCCUCGGGUUGUAAAGCACUUUCAGUGAGGAAGAACGCCUGGUGGUUAAUACCCAUCAGGAAAGACAUCACUCACAGAAGAAGCACCGGCUAACUCCGUUCCAGCAGCCGCGGUAAUACGGAGGGUGCGAGCGUUAAUCGGAAUUACUGGGCGUAAAGCGCGCGUAGGUGGCUUGAUAAGCCGGUUGUGAAAGCCCCGGGCUCAACCUGGGAACGGCAUCCGGAACUGUCAAGCUAGAGUGCAGGAGAGGAAGGUAGAAUUCCCGGUGUAGCGGUGAAAUGCGUAGAGAUCGGGAGGAAUACCAGUGGCGAAGGCGGCCUUCUGGACUGACACUGACACUGAGGUGCGAAAGCGUGGGUAGCAAACAGGAUUAGAUACCCGAGUAGUC
Molecule: ribosomal RNA, 465 nt
Filed under: Vreelandella stevensii
Lineage: Bacteria; Pseudomonadati; Pseudomonadota; Gammaproteobacteria; Oceanospirillales; Halomonadaceae
Description: partial 16S ribosomal RNA
Rfam family: Bacterial small subunit ribosomal RNA
Source: RNAcentral